AACAAAGAAAUGGGAGAUGGAGAUCGAACUCAAGACAUUGUGCAAAGGAGGCGAUGAUAUUAUUUUAGACAAUUGCUAGGAUCAAAAGCUCAAACAUUAGGAAGGGAUCACUAAUAUAUCAAGGGUAUGAUCAAAUAUAUUGGUCAUACAACAUAUGUAGGGUUUAGGGUUUAGGGUUUAGGCUUUAGGAUCUGACGGCAAAGUAGUAGACUGGACUAUCCAAUCAACCCCAUCUCCUAAAGAAAAGAAAUUUCGCACGGAUUGAGUACUAAUCUGUGGUUAGGAAUCAUGAUUGAUCUUAUAAUGCAAAUUAAGGGAGUUAUGAGUCAUAACACACACAUGUUAAUUAGUUAACUUGAGAACCGUGCGUGGCAUCCUCUUUCAGGUAAAAGUUCACAUUAAGUUCCUAACCCUAAUCUAAUUUCAACAAAAGGACAACUACUCUCUUCUUCCUUCAUGAAUUAUUCUGCUAAAAAAAAGACCACUCAACUAAUCUCAUCCACUUGAAUUUCGUAUGUGUUCUAUCUUCAGUUUGGACAAAAUUCAAAAGUCAACAUUUAUUUCUUGUCUAAACAUACAUUAAUCUAGUGACACAUCCAAUUUAAUCUAUAUUUCUUCUUCAACACACAUUAAUCUAAUGAAAUAUUCAAUCUAAUCCAAUAUUAAACAUCAAACAAUAUCUAAGGUCUUAUUAUUAAUCCAAUUUCAAUACAAAUAAAAAUAUACUCAAAUACACAAUUUUGAAGCUUUAAAAAUGAAAACUAAUGAAAAAUGCUUGAAAACUUUGAGUUUUAAUGAUAAAGACAAAAUAAAGGGUAAAGUGAAUAGUACCAUAAUUGACUUUUUAGUGUAAAAAUGUGGUUUUUCGUUAAAGUAAACAGUACCGGAUGUUUUUCGUUAAAGUUCCUUUAUUAAAAUUUGUUGAACAGAAGCAUUUGACAUCACUCAGCUUCCCAGAUGUCAUAUGCAUGGACCGUCAUUAAUUGCCAUCUCUACAUAGACAAUGGACAUAUAUAUAGCAUUACCCACCCUACCCAUCACAUCUCUCUGUAGUUCUUGCCGACACAUUGCAAAAGCAAAUGAAUCACGUAUCACCUCUCUAUUCCAUGAAAAUGAAAGCCCAAGUUAGGAUAAUGUAUGUUCUAAGGCCUUAAGCAGAAGAAGGAUAAUUUAGAUUUCUUAUUUUUCUAAGUUAUUGAUUUAAAUUACAUAGAUAAAUAAGAAUUUUUCAGAUCAUGUUUUAGUUUAAUGACCAUCUAAUGCUAAAGUAUUUAGUGAAAAAAAUAUAUUAAAAACGAUCGAUAUUAAAAGUUGGGUAGUAAAUCGUAAUCAACAGACCUACAAGUUUCAUACAAUAUUAUCAUGUUUUAUAUAUAAGAUAGUAUUCAAUUGGAUUGUAAAGAAUUUUCAUGGAGUUACAUAUAAUGUAUACUUCAAGCAAAUUCCCUCAAACUUAUAGGGGGAGAAAUUGAUUUUGUUAAAGACUUAAAUACACUAUGAAGCUCUCUAAAUCCAGCACUUUUUAAAAAUUUAUAAUAUCAAAACACGACACAUACGUAGACUUUUUUUAUACAUUUAAAUUCCUGAUUAAUUAAAUACACCCAAAAUUUUAGGACUUUUAUUUAAUUUACUAUAGAAUAAAGAAGGUGUUGAUGAAAUUGGGGUUCCACCGUAAAACCAAUUGACAAUAUGGGAAGUAACCCAAGAUCAUAUAAGCACAUAGUAAACCUUGACAAUAUGGGAAGUAACCCAAGAUCAUAUAAGCACAUAGUAAACCUUGUUCCUCACCAAUGUGGGACAACUCUCAACACGCCCCCGCACGUGUGACGGAUUUUCAAGCCUACACGUGGACAACAAUUGGGUGACGUAGAGCGCGUGUGGCCGUUUGGCUUCACACGUGGACAACCUUGCUCUAAUACCAUGAUGAAAUUGGGGUUCCACCAUAAAACCAAUUGGCAAUAUGGGAAGUAACCCAAGAUCAUAUAAGCACAUAGUAAACCUUGUUCCUCACCAAUGUGGGACAACUCUUAACAGGUGUCAAAUUCUACAAAAUAUAUGAUAAUGUGAUGAGGAUAAUUAUAUAUGACACGUCCAAUUGUGCAACAUUUAUUGAUUUUCCACGACUGAAAGGUCACUGAUUCAUUGCUCUAAAUGAAUUAUAAUGCAAAAGCUAAGCAAAGCUUCCAGUCAAUGGUUGAGGUUCAGUAGUCUCAACAUCCAUGGCCACACAUAUUCAUAUGAAAAAUGCCCUCAAUGACAAUUGUAGGGACGAAAGCCAGUAUGAAAUGAGUACUGCUCGAGUAAUAUUUGACAGGUCCCAUUCCUCUUCCUGGUUAGAAAAGUCCUUGAAGCUGUUCGUCUGAGGUACUUGCAAUUAACCACAUAACAAAAAUUUUAUGGUGCUCGGAGUAUAGACUAUGCUGGACUUUUAAUCUGUUAGAUAUUGGUUUUUAUGAAAUUGAAAAAAGAUUUCACCAUUAAGAAGUCCAAAAUAUCUGAUACUCUGAAGCAUUAUAGAAAAUUAAGCAUAAUACCUAGUGACAUAAACCCUAAACCCUAGUUCACGUAAAUUUGGUUCCUAACAUCAAGAAAAUUAGUCACUUAGCACUAUGGUCUAGUAUAAAAUUAAGAAAUGAAAUAAAAAAACCAACCAAACCAUAUUGUUUUGGUCUUUUGUUUUCUGUUUUUGGUCAAUUCGUGAUGAACCAAACCACACUGUAUACAAAGCUUUUCCUUUUCAAGAAGAGUACGAUAUUUCAUUUACUGAAAAAAGAUAUUACAAAUACAUAUCCAAAAGAAUUUGACCCCAGAAAAAAUCCUUGCAAACUAGGGGCUUGUUUGGAAGUGCAUUUGUUCCUGAAUCUCAUGUUUGGGCCCAAAAUACUGGUUUAGGCCGAGUUU
RNAcentral lists this long non-coding RNA (2901 nucleotides) under Malus domestica (apple). RNAcentral describes it as "long non-coding RNA (MDOM_LNC003356)". Lineage: Eukaryota; Viridiplantae; Streptophyta; Magnoliopsida; Rosales; Rosaceae. The record is from RNAcentral.